CAGUAGCCGCGGGAAAACGGAGGCUGCAAGCGUUAAUCGGAAUUACUGGGCGUAAAGCGCACGCAGGCGGUUUGUUAAGUCAGAUGUGAAAUCCCCGAGCUUAACUUGGGAACUGCAUUUGAAACUGGCAAGCUAGAGUCUUGUAAAGGGGGGUAGAAUUCCAGGUGUAGCGGUGAAAUGCGUAGAGAUCUGGAGGAAUACCGGUGGCGAAGGCGGCCCCCUGGACAAAGACUGACGCUCAGGUGCGAAAGCGUGGGGAGCAAACAGGAUUAGAUACCCCGGUAGUCCCUGUCUCUUAUAA
RNAcentral lists this ribosomal RNA (301 nucleotides) under uncultured bacterium. RNAcentral's name for it is "partial 16S ribosomal RNA". It matches the Rfam family "Bacterial small subunit ribosomal RNA", at positions 509 to 809 of the family's 1533-position model. The record is from RNAcentral.